This is a non-coding RNA of Ataeniobius toweri, 96 nucleotides long. The record is from the annotation of a GenBank genome assembly. NCBI's taxonomy places the organism in Eukaryota, Metazoa, Chordata, Actinopteri, Cyprinodontiformes, Goodeidae.
GGCGCUGUUGGUGUAGGGGUUAAACGCGCGGCCCAUGUACUGAGGCUUUGGUUCUCAAUGCAGCGGUCCUGGGUUUGAGUCCCGGCCCCAGUGACA